Molecule: ribosomal RNA, 478 nt
Filed under: uncultured bacterium
Lineage: Bacteria
Description: bacterial SSU rRNA
Rfam family: Bacterial small subunit ribosomal RNA
Source: RNAcentral
UAUCCCCCCCCUGUGUGCCCUUGCCCUCCCCCACGACUGCAGAACGCGAAGAACCUUACCAAGGCUUGACAUGCAUCGGAAACACUCAGAGAUGGGUGCCCCCUUUGGGUCGGUGUACAGGUGGUGCAUGGCUGUCGUCAGCUCGUGUCGUGAGAUGUUGGGUUAAGUCCCGCAACGAGCGCAACCCUUGUCCUGUGUUGCCAGCAGGCCCUUGUGGUGCUGGGGACUCACGGGAGACCGCCGGGGUCAACUCGGAGGAAGGUGGGGACGACGUCAAGUCAUCAUGCCCCUUAUGUCUUGGGCUGCACACGUGCUACAAUGGCCGGUACAAUGAGCUGCGAUACCGUGAGGUGGAGCGAAUCUACAAAAGCCGGUCUCAGUUCGGAUGGGUCUGCAACUCGACCCCAUGAAGUCGGAGUCGCUAGUAAUCGCAGAUCAGCAUUGCUGCGGUGAAUACGUUCCCGGGUCUUGUACACAC